Molecule: long non-coding RNA, 859 nt
Organism: Physeter macrocephalus (sperm whale)
Lineage: Eukaryota; Metazoa; Chordata; Mammalia; Artiodactyla; Physeteridae
Exons: 3
Source: RefSeq, a predicted model, not a curated record
GCUCCACGGACUGAGCUGCUCGCGGAGGGGAAGGAGCCCGUACCGGCGCCGUUGGCAGGAGAGCCCCCAGAGCCAGGGCAGACCUCAGGAAGUGGACGGAUCCGCUCAUCACCUGCUGACAUCCCAGUGGGCACCUGACUCAAGAGAAAACCGAGGUUCAGAAAGGGAGCAUGACCUUGGCUCGGCAGCACCCAGCGCUGAAGCUGGACCAGGACGGACCUUGUGUCCUGUCUCAGAGCCCAAGGCGUCGCCCAAGACUGGAGAGGUGAAGGCGUCUCCACUGGCAGGAAAGUCUUCCUCCUCCUGCCCCGACCAGAGCUGUGUUUUGCUUCAAGGUUCAGGUGCAGAAGAGCUUCUGCACGGAGUCCCCAAAUGCCGGUGAGUCCCGGCCUCAGGGUCCUUGACAUCGCGCAGGCUGGAGGAGGUUUGAAAACUAAUAAAGGGAAACGUCACUAAAAGGAAGUCGGGAGAGCAGAAGUGGGAGCGCAGAAGUGGGAGCUCCCACGGGGCAGCGCUCAAGUGCAAAGACAGGGAGUGUCGUCAGUUACAGACCCGAGCAGAAGAAGCAUCAACAGGAAAGAAGCAUCGAUUACAGGCCCCAACAGAAAAACAUGUACGUUGCAUCUCCUGCAAGAAAUCAGCAACUUGGCAAUGAGAAACCGUCAUCACCCUGAACUUUCACUUUUCUCCAGUGGGCUUGGGUUCAAAACCACCUCCCUCAGCUUCCUCCUCUUUCUCUGUAAAGUAAGGUUCCUUCCUCUCCUUUGUCUGUGGGACUUGCCUGUGGCUUUUGCUAUAGCUUGCUUGUCCUGAAUUGCAAUUCUUCCGCUAUCCCUGAAUAAACCCUUUUUGUUGGAGA